This 403-nucleotide ribosomal RNA is filed under the name uncultured bacterium. RNAcentral's name for it is "bacterial SSU rRNA". It matches the Rfam family "Bacterial small subunit ribosomal RNA", at positions 356 to 773 of the family's 1533-position model. The record is from RNAcentral.
GGGGAAUAUUGCACAAUGGGGGAAACCCUGAUGCAGCAACGCCGCGUGAAGGAUGAAGGGUUUCGGCUCGUAAACUUCUAUCAAUAGGGACGAAAAAAAUGACGGUACCUAAAUAAGAAGCCCCGGCUAACUACGUGCCAGCAGCCGCGGUAAUACGUAGGGGGCAAGCGUUAUCCGGAAUUACUGGGUGUAAAGGGAGAGUAGGCGGCAUGGUAAGUUAGAUGUGAAAUCCCGGGGCUCAACCCCGGGACUGCAUUGGAAACUAUGUAACUAGAGUGUCGGAGAGGUAAGUGGAAUUCCUAGUGUAGCGGUGAAAUGCGUAGAUAUUAGGAGGAACACCAGUGGCGAAGGCGACUUUCUGGACAAUAACUGACGCUGAGGCUCGAAAGCGUGGGGAGCAAAC